CCUACGGGAGGCAGCAGUGGGGAAUAUUGCACAAUGGGCGCAAGCCUGAUGCAGCGACGCCGCGUGAGGGAUGACGGCCUUCGGGUUGUAAACCUCUUUCAGUAGGGAAGAAGCGAAAGUGACGGUACCUGCAGAAGAAGCGCCGGCUAACUACGUGCCAGCAGCCGCGGUAAUACGUAGGGCGCAAGCGUUAUCCGGAAUUAUUGGGCGUAAAGAGUUCGUAGGCGGUUUGUCGCGUCUGCCGUGAAAGUCCGGGGCUCAACUCCGGAUCUGCGGUGGGUACGGGCAGACUAGAGUGAUGUAGGGGAGACUGGAAUUCCUGGUGUAGCGGUGAAAUGCGCAGAUAUCAGGAGGAACACCGAUGGCGAAGGCAGGUCUCUGGGCAUUAACUGACGCUGAGGAGCGAAAGCAUGGGGAGCGAACAGGAUUAGAUACCCUGGUAGUCCAUGCCGUAAACGUUGGGCACUAGGUGUGGGGGACAUUCCACGUUUUCCGCGCCGUAGCUAACGCAUUAAGUGCCCCGCCUGGGGAGGUACGGCCGCGACGACGUAAACCUACAANAGAAGUUAGACGGCGUGAGACGUGCCGAACGGACGACGACCGAGGGAGGUAGG
Molecule: ribosomal RNA, 614 nt
Filed under: uncultured bacterium
Lineage: Bacteria
Description: bacterial SSU rRNA
Rfam family: Bacterial small subunit ribosomal RNA (bases 1-525)
Source: RNAcentral